AACCACGUCUUCCAGCUGCGCGACUCCGUCUACAAGACGCUGAUGAUGAGGCCCGACCUGGAGCUGCAGUUCAAGUGCUACCACCACGAGGACCGACAGAUGAACACCAACUGGCCGGCGUCCGUGCAGGUCAGCGUCAACGCCACGCCGCUCACCAUCGAGCGCGGCGACAACAAGACCUCGCACAAACCGCUCUACCUGAAGCACGUCUGCCAGCCCGGCCGCAACACCAUCCAGAUCACCGUCACCGCCUG
Molecule: long non-coding RNA, 254 nt
Filed under: Gallus gallus (chicken)
Lineage: Eukaryota; Metazoa; Chordata; Aves; Galliformes; Phasianidae
Source: RNAcentral